UUUUCCGUAGUGUAAUAAACACAUUAGUUUUUCACACUAGAAAUGGGCGUAGUGCUCCGGGGUCC
Molecule: transfer RNA, 65 nt
Filed under: Pseudocardium sachalinense (Sakhalin surf clam)
Lineage: Eukaryota; Metazoa; Mollusca; Bivalvia; Venerida; Mactridae
Description: tRNA-Glu
Source: RNAcentral